UACGUAGGGUGCGAGCGUUGUCCGGAAUUACUGGGCGUAAAGAGCUCGUAGGUGGUUUGUCGCGUUGUUCGUGAAAACUCACAACUCAAUUGUGGGCGUGCGGGCGAUACGGGCAGACUGGAGUACUGCAGGGGAGACUGGAAUUCCUGGUGUAGCGGUGAAAUGCGCAGAUAUCAGGAAGAACACCCGUGGCGAAGGCGGCUCUCUGGGACGGUACUGACGCUGAGACGCGAAAGCGUGGGGAGCGAACAGG
This 253-nucleotide ribosomal RNA is filed under the name uncultured bacterium. RNAcentral's name for it is "partial 16S ribosomal RNA". It matches the Rfam family "Bacterial small subunit ribosomal RNA", at positions 524 to 776 of the family's 1533-position model. The record is from RNAcentral.